AUUAUGGAUAAAGACUAAUAUUUCAUUUGGAAUGAUAAAGAAAAGAUUUGCAUGGCCCCCUGUGCAAAGGUAACAUGUACAUUUGUGAAGUGUCCCAUAUUUUA
Molecule: small nuclear RNA, 104 nt
Organism: Vulpes vulpes (red fox)
Lineage: Eukaryota; Metazoa; Chordata; Mammalia; Carnivora; Canidae
Source: Ensembl